AUGGUUGAACCUGGUGGACUGCGUAUCAUUGGUGAUGAUGACAUGACUGAAGAGGAGAUGCGAGUUUAUGAUGAAGAACAAAGAAAGAUUGAUGUGUAUGAAAAGGAAAAGAAGGAGAUGGAGGAACGACCUACAAGAAGACAGAUACAGAAAAGAUCACGGAUGUGGGAUCACUUUUCAGAGGUACUAGUUGGUCGUGUUCUCAAGUUUGGAAAGUGCAAGUAUUGCAAUCGUGAUAUCAAGGCCGUCCCAGAGAUUAACGGUACAUCUGCAUUAAACAGUCAUUUUAGUACUUGCAAGUAUAAUCCUCAUAAUGAUAAGAAUAAGAAUCGAGGUACUUUGCAAGUUAUCCAAGGGGAAAGUCCUUCAGUGCAUAAAUUUGAUCCUGAAGCACUAAGGAAAGUUAUUGCUAAGAUGAUUAUAGUAGAUGAGCUUCCAUUCACAUUUACUGAAAAAGCUGGUUUUAGAGAAGUGAUGUCAAUUGCAUGUCCACGUUUCAAUAUGCCUUCUAGAAGAACAUGCACUAGGGAUGUUGUGAAGCUUUAUUUUGAAGAGAGAGCAAAGCUGAAACUUUUUUCCAAACAAUAA
This 588-nucleotide ribosomal RNA is filed under the name Triticum aestivum (bread wheat). Its description in RNAcentral is "partial small subunit ribosomal RNA". Lineage: Eukaryota; Viridiplantae; Streptophyta; Magnoliopsida; Poales; Poaceae. The record is from RNAcentral.